Molecule: long non-coding RNA, 425 nt
Filed under: Mytilus galloprovincialis (Mediterranean mussel)
Lineage: Eukaryota; Metazoa; Mollusca; Bivalvia; Mytilida; Mytilidae
Source: RNAcentral
GUUCGGGAAAUUUCCCAAAAUAUAUGAAAGUUUCAAAAUUUUUGUAGUAAAGAUGUAUGUGACAACAAAUUAUUCGGGAAAUGUCCCGAAAUCAUUCUCAACAUUAUUAUUUAUUACAUAUAUGUUGGCAGAGCAUUUUAACAAACAGAUCUGAAACGCAUUUCGGGAAAUAUCCCGACAAAAAUAAACUAAGUACAACAUGUAUAACACAGAUGUCUUCAAAUAUUUCGGGAUUUAUCCCGAAAAUUCAAAUGUAUAUGCUAGACCUCAUGACUAAUAAUUUCUUUUCACAUUUCGGGAAAAAUCCCGAAAAUAUAAAUCUAAUAUCAGACACACACUUGUUACAUAGAUUUUUUUUACCCAUUUCGGGAAAAAUCCCGAAAUAAAAUCUACAAGAAAAAAUUAUGCAUUUUGGUUUUUUAAAC